CUGGCUGUGGAAGCUGGCGAA
Molecule: microRNA, 21 nt
Filed under: Apis mellifera (honey bee)
Lineage: Eukaryota; Metazoa; Arthropoda; Insecta; Hymenoptera; Apidae
Description: ame-miR-928-5p
Gene: ame-miR-928-5p
Source: miRBase by way of RNAcentral